GCUCAGAUAACCCUGACCUGCAUUUUAUCCACCCCCCCACCCCCACCCCCCCAAAGACCCAAGACCGGCAAUACACUAAGUCACUUAGAAAACUUUUUUGUUUAAAUUGGAAUCCCCUACAUUCAGUGUACUUAAGAUGCAUUGUUACAUGAAGAGCAAAUGAAGACUUGAAAAAAUUCAACAAUUAUAUAUAACAGGUAGCUCAUGCUACAAAAGCCCUAUGCAACUUCACUGUCCAGCCCAAUACUUUUAACACAUGCUUUCAGUUUAAAAUCAAAUCUGAAUCUGCCUGUGUCUGUUCUGACCAAUGUAAUCUCUACAGACAUAAAUGGAAAAAAGAGGGAUCAACUAUGCUCUACUCUGUAUUUGGAAUACUGGGAGUUUAGCAGUAACCAAAGGCAACACAACACACGCACAUAUUGUGGCCUAAUCAUGCUCCUUCCAACAUGGAGUGGAAAAAGAAGGACCUUUUUUGUAGCUCUUUUUAAUACAGACUAAUCAAACAGUAUCUAUUAUGGUUUUGGAAUUCUCCCCAAUCUCAAAUCUCCUGAAGUGGAAGAAUGAAAAAGUAGGAGAGAGGAAUCAAUAUUAUCCACACAAAUGACUUCACUUUAAACAUGAUUAUCAAUUUUAAGGGACAUAGACACUUCAAUGUUUUGGAAUAUCGAAGUUUAUAAAAAAAAAAAACUACGUUAUAAAAACUGCAAUUCAUCACCUAGCAUUUUCUAAACUUUGCUGUUAUUUUUCCAUGGAUAGAUUAAUACAUUAAAUUAAGCCAAGGUUUUUGAAGAUUGGCAAUAUUCUAGCAUUUUAAACCAAAAACAACAAACAAAAAAAACCACCAGGUUAGUUGCUUCAUGUUACAUCCAGAAUCCAUAGCCCAUACAUUAAACGCUUUCUUUCUACAGGAAUGGUGUUCUUUAUAUCACAAUUGCAAUUAAUUACUGCUAGAUGCUCAAAAUUUCAGUGGAUAGUGUUUGACUGGAAUCUGUUGAUAGUGAAGUCUUGAGGUUUUUCUGGGUUUCAACAUAUAAGGUGUAUCCCAGGUCCUCUUCCUAGGAUCACAUCCAGGGGUCGGGGGAAAAGGGAAUCACAGAUCAAGUUCUUAAAUUCUUUCAAUCUCUUCGUGGCUUUCUGUUUCUGGGUGAUCUGUUCAAAACUUCAUCUUCCUCU
Molecule: long non-coding RNA, 1173 nt
Filed under: Monodelphis domestica (gray short-tailed opossum)
Lineage: Eukaryota; Metazoa; Chordata; Mammalia; Didelphimorphia; Didelphidae
Description: lncRNA (ENSMODG00000048552.1)
Source: RNAcentral